AGCAGCCGCGGUAAUUCCAGCUCCAAUAGCGUAUAUUAAAGUUGUUGCAGUUAAAAAGCUCGUAGUUGAAUUUCGGGGUUAGUAGGCUGGUCGUGCCACUGGUAUGUACUGGUCUUACUGACUUCUCCUUUCUGAAGAACUGUAAUGCCAUUAAUUUGGUGUUGCAGGGAAUCAGGACUGUUACUUUGAAAAAUUAGAGUGUUUAAAGCAGGCUAACGCUUGAAUACAUUAGCAUGGAAUAAUGAAAUAGGACGUUCGAUCCUAUUUUGUUGGUUUCUAGGAUUGACGUAAUGAUUAAUAGGGAUAGUUGGGGGCAUUAGUAUUCAAUUGUCAGAGGUGAAAUUCUUGGAUUUAUUGAAGACUAACUACUGCGAAAGCAUUUGCCAAGGAUGUUUUCAUUAAUCAAGAACGAAAGUUAGGGGAUCGAAGACGAUCAGAUACCGUCGUAGUCUUAACC
Molecule: small RNA, 457 nt
Filed under: uncultured Glomus
Lineage: Eukaryota; Fungi; Glomeromycota; Glomeromycetes; Glomerales; Glomeraceae
Description: SSU rRNA
Rfam family: Eukaryotic small subunit ribosomal RNA
Source: RNAcentral